CGGAGGGUGCGAGCGUUAAUCGGAAUUACUGGGCGUAAAGCGCAUGCAGGUGGUUCAUUAAGUCAGAUGUGAAAGCCCGGGGCUCAACCUCGGAACCGCAUUUGAAACUGGUGAACUAGAGUGCUGUAGAGGGGGGUAGAAUUUCAGGUGUAGCGGUGAAAUGCGUAGAGAUCUGAAGGAAUACCAGUGGCGAAGGCGGCCCCCUGGACAGACACUGACACUCAGAUGCGAAAGCGUGGGAGCAAACAGGAUU
RNAcentral lists this ribosomal RNA (253 nucleotides) under uncultured bacterium. RNAcentral's name for it is "partial 16S ribosomal RNA". It matches the Rfam family "Bacterial small subunit ribosomal RNA", at positions 526 to 779 of the family's 1533-position model. The record is from RNAcentral.